GUGUCAGCAGCCGCGGUAAUACGUAGGGGGCGAGCGUUGUCCGGAAUUACUGGGCGUAAAGAGCGUGUAGGCGGAUAUUUAAGUCAGAUGUGAAAACUAUCGGCUCAACCGAUAGACUGCAUCUGAUACUGGGUAUCUUGAGGGUAUGAGAGGGCAGUGGAAUUCCUAGUGUAGCGGUGAAAUGCGUAGAUAUUAGGAGGAACACCAGUGGCGAAGGCGACUGCCUGGCAUACAACUGACGCUGAGACGCGAAAGCGUGGGGAGCAAACAGGAUUAGAUACCCGCGUAGUCC
Molecule: ribosomal RNA, 292 nt
Filed under: uncultured bacterium
Lineage: Bacteria
Description: partial 16S ribosomal RNA
Rfam family: Bacterial small subunit ribosomal RNA
Source: RNAcentral